Molecule: ribosomal RNA, 499 nt
Filed under: Fusarium oxysporum
Lineage: Eukaryota; Fungi; Ascomycota; Sordariomycetes; Hypocreales; Nectriaceae
Description: eukaryotic LSU rRNA
Rfam family: 5.8S ribosomal RNA (bases 144-297)
Source: RNAcentral
UUUACAACUCCCAAACCCCUGUGAACAUACCACUUGUUGCCUCGGCGGAUCAGCCCGCUCCCGGUAAAACGGGACGGCCCGCCAGAGGACCCCUAAACUCUGUUUCUAUAUGUAACUUCUGAGUAAAACCAUAAAUAAAUCAAAACUUUCAACAACGGAUCUCUUGGUUCUGGCAUCGAUGAAGAACGCAGCAAAAUGCGAUAAGUAAUGUGAAUUGCAGAAUUCAGUGAAUCAUCGAAUCUUUGAACGCACAUUGCGCCCGCCAGUAUUCUGGCGGGCAUGCCUGUUCGAGCGUCAUUUCAACCCUCAAGCACAGCUUGGUGUUGGGACUCGCGUUAAUUCGCGUUCCUCAAAUUGAUUGGCGGUCACGUCGAGCUUCCAUAGCGUAGUAGUAAAACCCUCGUUACUGGUAAUCGUCGCGGCCACGCCGUUAAACCCCAACUUCUGAAUGUUGACCUCGGAUCAGGUAGGAAUACCCGCUGAACUUAAGCAUAUCAAU